Molecule: ribosomal RNA, 253 nt
Filed under: uncultured bacterium
Lineage: Bacteria
Description: partial 16S ribosomal RNA
Rfam family: Bacterial small subunit ribosomal RNA
Source: RNAcentral
UACGGAGGGUGCGAGCGUUGUCCGGAAUCACUGGGCGUAAAGGGCGCGUAGGCGGCUUGGGAAGUCCGUGGUGAAAGCCCGAGGCUCAACUUCGGGUCGGCCAUGGAUACUCCUAAGCUCGAGUCGACUAGAGGCUAAUGGAAUUCCGGGUGUAGCGGUGGAAUGCGUAGAGAUCCGGAAGAACACCGGUGGCGAAGGCGACUUACUGGACACAUAUUGACGCUGAGGUGCGAAAGCGUGGGGAGCAAACAGG